GAGGGCAUAGCUCAGUGUUAAAGUGCAUGCUUAGCAUGCAUAAGGCCCUGGGUUCAAUCCCAGUACCUCCA
RNAcentral lists this transfer RNA (71 nucleotides) under Camelus bactrianus (Bactrian camel). It matches the Rfam family "tRNA". Rfam says of the family: Transfer RNA (tRNA) molecules are approximately 80 nucleotides in length. Their secondary structure includes four short double-helical elements and three loops (D, anti-codon, and T loops). Further hydrogen bonds mediate the characteristic L-shaped molecular structure. tRNAs have two regions of fundamental functional importance: the anti-codon, which is responsible for specific mRNA codon recognition, and the 3' end, to which the tRNAs corresponding amino acid is attached (by aminoacyl-tRNA synthetases). tRNAs cope with the degeneracy of the genetic code in two manners: having more than one tRNA (with a specific anti-codon) for a particular amino acid; and 'wobble' base-pairing, i.e. permitting non-standard base-pairing at the 3rd anti-codon position. RNAcentral also lists the same sequence under 2 other names. Lineage: Eukaryota; Metazoa; Chordata; Mammalia; Artiodactyla; Camelidae. The record is from Rfam by way of RNAcentral.